UACGAAGGGUGCAAGCGUUACUCGGAAUUACUGGGCGUAAAGCGUGCGUAGGUGGUUCGUUAAGUCUGAUGUGAUAGCCCUGGGCUCAACCUGGGAAUGGCAUUGGAAACUGGCGAUCUAGAGUGCGGUAGAGGGUAGUGGAAUUCCUGGUGUAGCGGUGAAAUGCGUAGAUAUCAGGAGGAACACCGGUGGCGAAGGCGCCUAUCUGGCCCGAUACUGACGCUGAGGCGCGAAAGCUAGGGGAGCAAACGGG
Molecule: ribosomal RNA, 253 nt
Filed under: uncultured bacterium
Lineage: Bacteria
Description: partial 16S ribosomal RNA
Rfam family: Bacterial small subunit ribosomal RNA
Source: RNAcentral